CCCUGCCAUUUGUACACACCGCCCGUCGCUCCUACCGAUUUCGAGUGAUCCGGUGAACCUUCUGGAUUGCGAUCGUUGAAAGACGACUGCGAGAAUUUAAGUAAACCAUAUCACUUAGAGGAAGGAGA
This 128-nucleotide ribosomal RNA is filed under the name uncultured eukaryote. Its description in RNAcentral is "partial small subunit ribosomal RNA". It matches the Rfam family "Eukaryotic small subunit ribosomal RNA", at positions 1651 to 1786 of the family's 1831-position model. The record is from RNAcentral.